GAAGUUAUCUUCAAAUGGAUCGGGUUAGUGUUUCCACUGUGAAUGUAGAGUUAAUUAUAUAUUUUGAUGCUCAUUGUACCUUCAAAAGCCUUGAACGAGGGAGAUGUUUGUAGUUGCUUAUCUUCAGAACUUUAAAUCCUUUUGCAUCAUGUUUUGGAUUGAAAUUCAUUAAUUGCAUUUGGAGCAUCUUACUUCCAAGCAAUUUUCCUAGUUAAUUUUUCUUAUUCUGACAUCAAAUCCAAAUUGAUAUUAAUUCUUUACAAGAUAUGUGCUCCAAUUAUUUGUAUGUUUUAUUAAAAUAUUCCUUUCUGGCUGCUUAGCAUCAGAAAUUUCUCGCUCAAUUACACAUAAUGCAGGCCGCAAGGAAGUGACUGUGGCA
This 379-nucleotide unclassified non-coding RNA is filed under the name Hevea brasiliensis (rubber tree). Lineage: Eukaryota; Viridiplantae; Streptophyta; Magnoliopsida; Malpighiales; Euphorbiaceae. The record is from RNAcentral.